UACGUAGGGUGCGAGCGUUGUCCGGAAUCAUUGGGCGUAAAGAGCGUGUAGGCGGCUUGGCAAGUCUGACGUGAAAGCCCGCGGCUCAACCGCGGAUUGUCGUUGGAAACUGCCUCGCUAGAGUCCGGAAGAGGAGAGCGGAAUUCCUGGUGUAGCGGUGGAAUGCGCAGAUAUCAGGAAGAACACCCGUGGCGAAGGCGGCUCUCUGGGACGGUACUGACGCUGAGGAGCGAAAGCGUGGGGAGCGAACAGG
RNAcentral lists this ribosomal RNA (253 nucleotides) under uncultured bacterium. RNAcentral describes it as "partial 16S ribosomal RNA". It matches the Rfam family "Bacterial small subunit ribosomal RNA", at positions 524 to 776 of the family's 1533-position model. The record is from RNAcentral.